RNAcentral lists this transfer RNA (74 nucleotides) under Megalops atlanticus (tarpon). It matches the Rfam family "tRNA". Rfam says of the family: Transfer RNA (tRNA) molecules are approximately 80 nucleotides in length. Lineage: Eukaryota; Metazoa; Chordata; Actinopteri; Elopiformes; Megalopidae. The record is from Rfam by way of RNAcentral.
GUCUCUGUGGUGCAAUUGGUUAGCGCGUUCGGCUGUUAACUGAAAGGUUGGUGGUUCGAGCCCAUCCAGGGACG